AAAUGACUCUCGGCAACGGAUAUCUCGGCUCUCGCAUCGAUGAAGAACGUAGCGAAAUGCGAUACUUGGUGUGAAUUGCAGAAUCCCGUGAACCAUCGAGUCUUUGAACGCAAGUUGCGCCUGAAGCCAUCAGGUUGAGGGCACGUCUGCCUGGGUGUC
RNAcentral lists this ribosomal RNA (159 nucleotides) under Morus rubra (red mulberry). RNAcentral describes it as "5.8S ribosomal RNA". It matches the Rfam family "5.8S ribosomal RNA". From Rfam's summary of the family: 5.8S ribosomal RNA (5.8S rRNA) is a component of the large subunit of the eukaryotic ribosome. It is transcribed by RNA polymerase I as part of the 45S precursor that also contains 18S and 28S rRNA. Lineage: Eukaryota; Viridiplantae; Streptophyta; Magnoliopsida; Rosales; Moraceae. The record is from RNAcentral.